Molecule: ribosomal RNA, 207 nt
Filed under: uncultured bacterium
Lineage: Bacteria
Description: partial 16S ribosomal RNA
Rfam family: Bacterial small subunit ribosomal RNA
Source: RNAcentral
CGCGUAGGCGGUUGUGUUAGUCGGAUGUGAAAUCCCCGGGCUUAACCUGGGAACUGCAUUCGAUACUGCAUAACUAGAGUAUGGUAGAGGGAAGUGGAAUUCCGGGUGUAGCGGUGAAAUGCGUAGAUAUCCGGAGGAACACCAGUGGCGAAGGCGACUUCCUGGGCCAAUACUGACGCUGAGGUGCGAAAGCGUGGGGAGCAAACA